GCGAAAGCCUGACGGAGCAAUACCGCGUGAGGGAGGAAGGCUCUUGGGUUGUAAACCUCUUUUCUCAGGGAAUAAAAAAAUGAAGGUACCUGAGGAAUAAGCAUCGGCUAACUCCGUGCCAGCAGCCGCGGUAAUACGGAGGAUGCAAGCGUUAUCCGGAAUGAUUGGGCGUAAAGGGUCCGCAGGUGGCAAUGUGUGUCUGCUGUCAAAGAAUGAGGCUUAACCUCAUCAAGGCAGUGGAAACUACAUAGCUAGAGUACGGUCGGGGUAGAAGGAAUUCCUGGUGUAGCGGUGAAAUGCGUAGAGAUCAGGAAGAACACCGGUGGCGAAAGCGCUCUGCUAGGCCUGUACUGACACUGAGGGACGAAAGCUAGGGGAGCG
Molecule: ribosomal RNA, 381 nt
Filed under: uncultured Cylindrospermum sp.
Lineage: Bacteria; Bacillati; Cyanobacteriota; Cyanophyceae; Nostocales; Nostocaceae
Description: bacterial SSU rRNA
Rfam family: Bacterial small subunit ribosomal RNA
Source: RNAcentral